GCCGCAGUGGUGGAAUCGGCAGACACCAGGGACUUAAAAUCCCUUGAUAGCAAUAUCGUGCCCGUUCAAGUCGGGUCUGCGGCACCA
RNAcentral lists this transfer RNA (87 nucleotides) under Oscillospiraceae bacterium. RNAcentral describes it as "tRNA-Leu". The record is from RNAcentral. Lineage: Bacteria; Bacillati; Bacillota; Clostridia; Eubacteriales; Oscillospiraceae.